This 463-nucleotide ribosomal RNA is filed under the name uncultured bacterium. RNAcentral's name for it is "bacterial SSU rRNA". It matches the Rfam family "Bacterial small subunit ribosomal RNA", at positions 28 to 490 of the family's 1533-position model. The record is from RNAcentral.
GACGAACGCUGGCGGCGUGCCUAACACAUGCAAGUCAACUUGACUGAAGGAGCAAUCUGACAGUAGAGUGGCGCAAGGGUGCGUACCGCGUAAGUAACUUGCCCAAGGUAAGGAAUAACGUCGAGAAAUCGGCGCUAAUACCUCAUAAUGCAGCGGAUCCGCAUGGAUAUGUUGUUAAAGGUUUACCGCCUUGGGAUAGGCUUGCGUCUGAUUAGUUAGUUGGUGUGGUAACGGCACACCAAGGCUACGAUCAGUAACUGGUCUGAGAGGAUGAUCAGUCACACUGGAACUGAGACACGGUCCAGACUCCUACGGGAGGCAGCAGUGAGGAAUAUUGGGCAAUGCUCGAAAGAGUGACCCAGCAACGCCGCGUGGAGGAUGAAGGUAUUCUAUAUCGUAAACUCCUGUGAGAGCAGACGAAAGACAGAAUUAUUAAUCUGGAUGACUGUAUGCUCAGAGGAAG